CCUACGGGAGGCAGCAGUGAGGAAUAUUGGUCAAUGGGCGAGAGCCUGAACCAGCCAAGUCGCGUGAAGGAUGACGGCCCUACGGGUUGUAAACUUCUUUUGUCAGGGAGCAAUUGGGUCCACGCGUGGGCUUAGCGAGAGUACCUGAAGAACAAGCAUCGGCUAACUCCGUGCCAGCAGCCGCGGUAAGACGGAGGAUGCGAGCUUUAUCCGGAUUUAUUGGGUUUAAAGGGUGCGGAGGCGGACUAUCAAGUCAGCGGUAAAAAUUCGGGGCUCCACCCGGUCGUGCCGUUUAAACGGAUGUUAGUGAGUGGGCUAGAAGUAUGCGGAAUGCGUGGUGUAGCGGUGAAAUGCAUAGAUAUCACGCAGAACUCCGAGUGCGAAGGCAGCAUACCGGCGCCCAACUGACGCUGAAGCACGAAAGCGUGGGUAUCGAACAGGAUUAGAUACCCGGGUAGUC
RNAcentral lists this ribosomal RNA (460 nucleotides) under uncultured bacterium. RNAcentral describes it as "partial 16S ribosomal RNA". It matches the Rfam family "Bacterial small subunit ribosomal RNA", at positions 338 to 795 of the family's 1533-position model. The record is from RNAcentral.